GUUAUAAUGCUUUAACUCAUAAAGGUUAUUCAUAUACUUGCCUCUGAGUAAACUAAGUCCCUCAGGGUUAGAAGCAGAGUCUUAUUUAAUAACCAUAGCUCUACUUUCUAGAACAGUCUUAGAUCAAGACUAUAUGGACCGUUACUGGAAUAUGUAAAAUAAGUUAAUAUCAGCUUAAUUCUGAUUAUUAUUGUUCUGCAGUGAUUUUCACCACAAAUGAGUAUUUGCACUGCUUUGCAAUACUUUGCAUGUACUAGAUUCUUAAUUCAUUAUU
RNAcentral lists this long non-coding RNA (274 nucleotides) under Bos taurus (domestic cattle). RNAcentral's name for it is "long non-coding RNA NONBTAT022318". The record is from RNAcentral. Lineage: Eukaryota; Metazoa; Chordata; Mammalia; Artiodactyla; Bovidae.